CUUCCAUCUGGAAGAAUCUGGAGACAGGUGCUGCAUGGCUGUCGUCAGCUCGUGUCGUGAGAUGUUGGGUUAAGUCCCGCAACGAGCGCAACCCUUGCCUUUAGUUGCCAGCAGUCGGCCGGCACUCUAAAGGGACUGCCGGUGUUAAACCGGAGGAAGGUGGGGAUGACGUCAAGUCCUCAUGGCCUUUAUGACCAGGGCUACACACGUACUACAAUGGCCGAUCAAAGGGCAGCGACACUGCGAGGUGAAGCCAAUCCCGUAAAAUCGGUCUCAGUCCGGAUUGGAGUCUGCAACUCGACUCCAUGAAGUUGGAAUCGCUAGUAAUCGUGGAUCAGCAUGCCACGGUGAAUACGUUCCCGGGGGCCUU
RNAcentral lists this ribosomal RNA (370 nucleotides) under uncultured Desulfobulbus sp. RNAcentral's name for it is "bacterial SSU rRNA". It matches the Rfam family "Bacterial small subunit ribosomal RNA", at positions 1014 to 1378 of the family's 1533-position model. Lineage: Bacteria; Pseudomonadati; Thermodesulfobacteriota; Desulfobulbia; Desulfobulbales; Desulfobulbaceae. The record is from RNAcentral.